CGGCGAUCAGUUCGUCGUCUUUCCUCGAAUCUGAGCUUGUUAUAAUCAUUAGUUGUUCUCGAAUUGUAUUUGUAUUUCCUUGAUGUGCUUGCAGGUUAACUGGGCAGCUCGAUUUCUGCAUCAACGGGUAGCGGCGCGUGAGUGAUCAGAUCUGUGACGUUGUAUGCUCGAAUCUGUAAGUUUGCGGCGGGAUUGGAAGAGAUCG
This 205-nucleotide unclassified non-coding RNA is filed under the name Hevea brasiliensis (rubber tree). Lineage: Eukaryota; Viridiplantae; Streptophyta; Magnoliopsida; Malpighiales; Euphorbiaceae. The record is from RNAcentral.